AGUGCACCAGCUCCAGGUGGUAUGCCUCCCAACAACUUUAAUCCCAGCAUGCCUCCUCACAACCGCCAAGGCGAUUAUCCAGGAGGACCACCACCUCCGAACAAUUUUAACAGACCACCACCGCCACCACCGCACAACUACAGCGGACCACCACCACCACCACCACACAACUUCAGCGGACCACCACCACCACCACCACACAACUUCAGCGGACCACCACCACCACCACCGCACAACUUCAACGGACCACCACCACCACCACCGCACAACUUCAACGGACCACCACCACCACCGUACAACUUCAACGGGCCACCACCUCCUCCACCAAACAACUUCAACGGACCACCACCUCCUCCACCGAACAACUUCAACGGACCACCACCACGCAACUAUGCUUCAGCAUCACCAAAUCACGGAGGAGGAGGAGGAGGAGCACCCCACAACUAUGGGGGGCCACAGGAAAACAACUAUUGGGGAGCACAGCAGCCAAACAACUAUGGUGGAC
Molecule: long non-coding RNA, 505 nt
Filed under: Cucumis sativus (cucumber)
Lineage: Eukaryota; Viridiplantae; Streptophyta; Magnoliopsida; Cucurbitales; Cucurbitaceae
Description: long non-coding RNA (CSAT_LNC001432)
Source: RNAcentral